UUAAUGCUAUCGUUGAUGGGGUUCCGUGCAUUGCUCAGUGGCCCUGCCAACGUAGCAUUGUCC
RNAcentral lists this microRNA precursor (63 nucleotides) under Petromyzon marinus (sea lamprey). RNAcentral's name for it is "Pma-Mir-155_pre stem-loop". The record is from RNAcentral. Lineage: Eukaryota; Metazoa; Chordata; Hyperoartia; Petromyzontiformes; Petromyzontidae.